This 826-nucleotide long non-coding RNA is filed under the name Mustela putorius furo (domestic ferret). RNAcentral describes it as "lncRNA (ENSMPUG00000031109.1)". Lineage: Eukaryota; Metazoa; Chordata; Mammalia; Carnivora; Mustelidae. The record is from RNAcentral.
CCUGCUUCACAAAAGGGGGGAAAUGAAAGUUGAUGGUCAGCCAUCUGACCAUCCAUUAUGAGAUCAGCGGCUGUGGGCCGCAGGAGUGCUCAGCGGCUAAGAAGUUCCGGUCCCGAAUGCACAGAGGUACUGGGAAGGGAAAGUGUGCCUGCAGGUUGUGAGUUUGGUUCCAGUUGCUUCUGCGUUGUCCCAGUGCCCUCCAGAGCUGCUGGCAUCUGUCCCACCCCGUCUAUCGAAAGAUGGUUUGGACUAGUAAUGCAUACAUAACUGGAGGGUGAAGAAGCCAUGGUGGGAGAAGCUUUCUACUGAAAGGGCAGGCAACUCUGAAAGGGGCAUUAGAGUCCAGGAGAAAUGAAGUUUGAAACAACCAAAAACACAACUCAACACAGAUCCCCAUGAUUGGUAUUUUCCUGGGGCAGAGUCUCCCUUCCCUCUCUGUCUUCUCUCCAGGCACCUCCUCCCUCCCUGACACCCGCCGGGUGGCCCAAUUCUCUUUCCCCAAGAAGCACUAUUCCUCUAACAAAAAGGAGUAAGAUUCUCAACUCCUUCCUAUGACUCACAACUUGAGUAAUGCCUUGGGGCUUCAACCAGGCUUUGUUGAUGUUUUCCUCUUCUUGGGUGUGGUAAGCUCUGGAGAAAGAUACAGAUGGAUCCAAGACAUUGAUGAAUGGAAGUACUCCAAUCCCAGACCAGUCUUAGCACUUAUGGGAGCUACAGCUAAAGUUAACAGCAUAAUUUUCACCACCAUUACGGAACAUGAGAUCACGCAGAGAAAGCAACAAAGUGUCAUGUGCUUGUAGGUGAAGACUGGGUACAUGAGAAGUAC